CCUACGGGAGGCUGCAGUGAGGAAUAUUGGUCAAUGGGCGAGAGUCUGAACCAGCCAAGUAGCGUGAAGGAUGACUGUCCUACGGAUUGUAAACUUCUUUUAUAAAGGAAUAAAACGAGCCACGAGUGCCUUGUUGAGUGUACUUGAUGAAAAAGCAUCGGCUAACUCCGUGCCAGCAGCCGCGGUAAUACGGAGGAUCCGAGCGUUAUCCGGAUUUAUUGGGUUUAAAGGGUGCGUAGAUGGGUUCUUAAAGUAGUUGGUAAAGUUGCGGGCUCAACCGUAAAAUUGCCGUUGAUACUGGUAGUCUUGAGUAGACUUGAGGUAGGCGGAAUUCGUGGUGUAGCGGUGAAAUGCUUAGAUAUCACGAAGAACUCCGAUUGCGAAGGCAGCUUACUAAACUGUAACUGACGUUGAUGCUCGAAAGUGUGGGUAUCAAACAGAAUUAGAUACCCUAGUAGUC
RNAcentral lists this ribosomal RNA (460 nucleotides) under uncultured bacterium. Its description in RNAcentral is "partial 16S ribosomal RNA". It matches the Rfam family "Bacterial small subunit ribosomal RNA", at positions 338 to 795 of the family's 1533-position model. The record is from RNAcentral.